This 460-nucleotide ribosomal RNA is filed under the name uncultured bacterium. RNAcentral describes it as "partial 16S ribosomal RNA". It matches the Rfam family "Bacterial small subunit ribosomal RNA", at positions 338 to 795 of the family's 1533-position model. The record is from RNAcentral.
CCUACGGGAGGCAGCAGUGAGGAAUAUUGGUCAAUGGACGAGAGUCUGAACCAGCCAAGUAGCGUGAAGGAUGACUGCCCUAUGGGUUGUAAACUUCUUUUAUAUGGGAAUAAAGUGUUCCACGUGUGGGCUUUUGUAUGUACCAUAUGAAUAAGGAUCGGCUAACUCCGUGCCAGCAGCCGCGGUAAUACGGAGGAUCCGAGCGUUAUCCGGAUUUAUUGGGUUUAAAGGGAGCGUAGGUGGGUUGUUAAGUCAGUUGUGAAAGUUUGCGGCUCAACCGUAAAAUUGCAGUUGAAACUGGCAGUCUUGAGUACAGUAGAGGUAGGCGGAAUUCGUGGUGUAGCGGUGAAAUGCUUAGAUAUCACGAAGAACUCCGAUUGCGAAGGCAGCUCACUGGACUGCAACUGACACUGAGGCUCGAAAGUGUGGGUAUCAAACAGGAUUAGAUACCCGGGUAGUC